RNA transcript from Oxyura jamaicensis (ruddy duck), 5237 nucleotides. It is a transcript of the gene named Bardet-Biedl syndrome 9, with no coding region annotated. NCBI's taxonomy places the organism in Eukaryota, Metazoa, Chordata, Aves, Anseriformes, Anatidae. The record is from RefSeq and is a predicted model, not a curated record. The transcript is spliced from 24 exons.
CCGGCACCGAACUACAUUUCCCAGCGCCGCCCGGGGCGGCGGUUGCCAAGGCGCCCUGGCAACGGCGCCUGAAAUGGCGGCGGGGAAGGGACCGUAACGGUGUCGGCCUCCAUCUCUCAGCCUCGGGCCGGGGUCAUAGUGCCGACCCCCCGUGAAGAAGAAUGUCCUUGUUUAAAGCUCGAGACUGGUGGUCCACAACACUUGGAGAAAAGGAAGAAUUUGAUCAAGGCUGUCUGUGUGUUGCUGAUGUUGAUAACAGUGGCCAAGAUAAAAUUAUUGUGGGCAGUUAUAUGGGAUAUCUCCGAAUCUUUCAUCCACAUCCUGUGAAACCUGGGGAUGACGUGCAGGCUGAAGACCUGCUCUUGGAAGUGCAGUUACAAGAACCAAUACUGCAGGUGGAAGUUGGAAAAUUUGUUUCUGGUACUGAAGGACUUCAUCUGGCUGUGUUGCAUUGCCGAAAACUCUGUGUAUAUUCUGUUUCAGGAACUCAAGGGAAUGUGGAACAUGGGAACCAGUAUCAGAUGAAACUGAUGUAUGAACAUAAUCUUCAGAGAACUGCUUGCAAUAUGACGUAUGGACCAUUUGGUGGUGUAAAAGGUCGAGAUUUGAUAUGCAUACAGUCCAUGGAUGGGAUGUUAAUGUUAUUUGAACAGGAAAGCUAUGCUUUUGGACGUUUUUUACCUGGUUUUCUUCUGCCUGGUCCAUUGACUUACAGCUCUCGGACAGAUUCUUUCAUUACGGUGUCUUCCUGUCGACAGGUUGAGAGUUACAAAUAUCAUGUGCUGGUAUUUGCAACAGAUGCUGAGGCAAGACAAGAAACAGUACAGCAAAAACUUAGUUCUGGAAAAAGACUUGUGGUGGAUUGGGUUCUAAACAUUGGAGAGCAAGCACUGGAUAUAUGCAUUGUCUCCUUUAAUCAGGCAGUUUCCUCUGUUUUUGUGCUUGGUGAGAGAAACCUCUUCUGCCUUAAGGAUAAUGGACAACUUCGAUUCAUGAAAAAGCUUGAUUACAGUCCAAGUUGCUUCAUUCCUUAUUGUUCAGUGAAAGAAGGAACAAUAAACACUCUAGUUGGAAACCAUAGUAAUGUGUUGAAUAUUUAUCAGGAUGUUACACUGAAAUGGGCUGCUCAGCUUCCCCAUGUUCCUGUAUCAGUAAAAGUAGCAAACAUACAGAAUCUGAAGGGUGUUAUAGUUACUCUGAGUGAAAAUGGACACCUGCAGUGUUCCUACCUUGGAACUGAUCCUUCAUUCUUCCAGGCUCCUAGAGUUGAUUCUAAGGAAGUAAACUAUGAAGAAUUCAAUGCUGAAAUGAAAGAGCUUCAGAAAAUCAUCAGGGAAGCUAUGAAAACACAAGAUAUUUUACCCCAAUCUGAAAAACUGAGAGAUCUAAUUGUCACUGCAGAAGUUUCACCAGAGUUGGAUGCAGAAUCUAAAGCCAUUGACAGUGAGGUAAAAGCAGAGGUAGUACCAUCAGUAACAGUAAAGGUAACAGUACAAAGCAGGGUGACUGCACAGAAACCAAACCUGUCAGUAUGUGUACAAGCUCCAUUAGCAGUGACCUGUGACCAGUUCAUCUUUAAUGAUUUAGAACCAGAUUCAUCUGAAACCGUGGUCCUGUCUGUCUUUUUGAAGGGGAAUUGUCCUCCAUCAGAACUAGAAGGAAAUUGUGUGGUUUCAUGUAGUACACAAACAGAACUCAAUCCUGAAGGAAUACCAAAAGUUGCCCAGUGUAAAUUCAAGCUGCCUUUGCGAUUAAUCUGUUCUCCAGCUCAACCUUCAAAAUCAGCAAAUCACAAGAUAACUAUUGAUACCAAUAAACCUCCCAUCAGUUUUCUCACCAUUUUUCCAGACUUUGCUGAUCCAUCUGAGGAUGACCAGGCAAAUGUUCUGGGUUUUCAGUUCCUAACGGGUUCAAAAAUCACUCUUCUUGCUUCAAAAACAUCACAACGAUAUAGGAUCCAGAGUGAUCAGUUAGAAGACCUUUGGCUAAUAACAAAAGAGCUCACUCUUCGACUGGAAGAACAUUUCAAAAAGCAAAAUUGCAAAGACUUUGCGUGUACCUUUUCAGGUUCAAUUCCCCUGCAAGAAUACUUUGAACUAAUUGAUCGACAUUUUGAGCUGCGCUUGAAUGCAGAAAAAUUUCGUGAGCUGUUAUCUGAGAGGGCUGUACAAUUUAGAGCUAUCGAGAGACGAUUGCUGACACGAUUCAAAGACAAAACUCCUGCUCCUCUUCAACAUCUGGAUACCUUGCUAGAAGGAACAUUCAGAGAGGUAAUAGCUCUAGCAGAUGCAGCAGAAGAAAAUCAAGCCAACAUGUUCCAGGCAUUCACAAAGUUGAAAAGUGCCACCCAUCUGGUGAUUAUGCUGAUCAGUCUGUGGCAGAAACUCAACGCUGAACAAAUUGCUAUUAUGGAAGCCUCAUUUUUGCCAUUAGCAGAAGAUACACAAGAGCUGGGUUGGGAAGAAACUGUGGAUUCUGCCAUUUCUUCCUUACUAAGAACUUGCUUGUCAAAGAGCUCUAAGGAACAGGCACUGACUCUUGGUGGCCAGUUGAGCAUGCCCAAAGAUACCAGCAGACUUAAGAAGAAUAUCAGCCUGUUCUGUGAUAGACUGGCCAAAGGUGGUCGCCUUUCCUUAAGUACAGAGUCAGCCACUCAGCAAUUUUCUGUUGUGCCAGGUGGCUGUUCUACAAUCCCAGAGUCUGACUUGGAGGAAAGAGUAGUUGUACCGGGCUCCAUGGCAACAUUUACCAAUCACAAGCAUGCCACAAAGCAGAAAUCCAAGCCUGAAAAGCCUCCUGGCCAUAAAGUAUAAGGAUCUCUUACUUUGCAAGUCAAGGACCUGCUUUUGAAAGAUGAUUUCUAAUUUUGUUUGUCUGAGGAUGCAGCAGAGGAAGCAGAAAAGCCAUGAAACAUGAAGACGACCUAAGGAGGAAUUUCUAUCUGUUAUCAAAUGUAUUUAUAAGGCAGCAGUACCAAUCCUUUUUAUUCUGUCCUGAUUGCAGCCUCCAGAAGAAGAGGACUGUGCUAACUUAUAUGAAAAAGUUCCAUUCUAAUCAUUUUGGUUGGGUCUUCCUGCCAACUGCUAGCAUCCAAUCUGUGACCAAAGCUUAUGCACUUACCCAAUUGUGAUAGGGAUGUUGUGUUAUGUUUUGUGGUACAUCAGCCCUUCUAAGGAUUCUGUUGGUUGAUCAAAGACUGUUUACAGAUAGUUAAAAGCAACCUUUGUUUCAGGAUAUAUUUUAUCUGUUUUUUAAGAUAUUCUGAACUAUACAUUUGUUAUAUCACAGCUUUGACAAAAGAUAACUAUCUCCUUUCCUCCCAUACUAACAUUCACAAUUCCAGACAGCUGAAUUCACCACAAGAAGAAAAACUGGUAAUCCAUCAACUACCCACCCUCCCCACCCCGCGCCCCGUCUCUCAUUGCUUAUAUAGACUCCUGCUCUCAAGAGAUACAGAGUAAAAUAUGGUUACUGGACAUAAAGGGUAAACCCUUUUGCCAUUAACUAUGUCACUAUGAACUUGAAUAAAGUUUACACUGUAAGUACCCUAAGCACAGCAACAGAUGGAUCUUUUUAUGGUUACCUGUAAUUUCUGUUUUUCCUGUCAGUCAGCCUGUUCUAGUUAUGGGUAAGAUUUUCAAAAGUAAUUUUUGAGUGCCUUAAUUUUUAUGAAUUCAGCUGGAGGGGGCUUAGAUAGUUCAGUUUUUAAAAAGUGCUGAAUAUUUACAGUCUGAAAGUGAAGUCUACCCAAGGUGCCUGCAAUGAGACAACAACUGAGACAAUCGAAACACCUUGUCAAACCAUGACCUAGGGUUUGGAAGUGUCAAGAUUAUAUCUGAGUUCUUAAGAGUGAUCUGAGUGUAGUAUCAGCAAAAGAUAUUUGAAACUGAAGAUAACUGAUACAUGGGUCAAGAGCAAAGACAGCUGAACAAGAUCUCUCUUGGUUGUUGGUGGUUCAUAAAAAAUCAGAAGCAAAUUUUAAAAAUUUUUUUUGAUUGCAAAUACAGAAAAUAUAGUGCACCCCAGCAUAAUUUCUCAGAGAUGCAAUUGGAUGAACUAUCUGCACAUCCCACUUUCAGCUUGGUUUCACCAACUCCUGUUCUAGCCAUAGUAAAGGUCCCUCCAACUCACAUUUGUGCUCUUUUGGCAGGGUUGUUGACAGUUUCUGUGGUCUGUGCCAGACUUGAUCUGUGGAUAAAAAGGAGACAUUUUUCAGGAUCUCUUAAGCCAACAACUUUCAUCAACUCCAUGUUUGCUUUCAAACUCUUUGUAUCCACCCCAAAAACUAAACCAGUUUGCACCAGUUGUGCAUCUGCGGCUUAGCCCUUUGAUCCUGCUCUGGCUGAGUAAACUCGAUAUAAUCAUGUUUCAUGGAGCCCUUUUCAACAUUAAAUGGAGCCAAGUGGCCAGGGAACUGGGUAUGGCUUCUGAUACCUCUAGGACUCAAGUGAGCAGGGGCUGCCGAUAAAAAUGACUCUGUCCCCCAGGAGAGCUCAUAUAUCUGUAAGGUGUGGUGCACAAAAUCUUGCCUCUUUCCCAUGAAGGAAAAUUCCUACCCCCUGCUUGUUAUGGAGGAAUUCUGCUGGCUGAGUUUUCUUCACUCUGAUCCCUCCCCCAUGGUUUUUGUCAGGAGGGCAGUAUCCAAACCAUUGUAAAUGUAUCCUGCUGUGUUGCAAAAAUUACACAAUAAAAUAAUCUCCUGUAGUUUCUGUACACACCUCAAUGACCAAGGAAAAUCCAUGGAGAACUAAUCAAUUACUGUAGCUAUUAGGCUUAAACUUUAACUAUAGAUCUCAAAUCUUCUUUUGUUCUCUUGUCAGUGGCUACUAGGUAAUCUAGAAAAAUCCACUGCUGUCUACUUUUUUUUUUUUUUUUUUUUUCCCCAUGCCAUAGAAGUGCCAUUAUGUUGUAGAAUCCUGGACCAAAGGAUCCUAAGCUAUAUGCGUAUAGUAUUAACUGGAGAACACACAACUGUGAGACUUUUGUGAAAUAUAUUACUCUGUCAUAAUUAUUAUUAUUGAAUAUGAUCCCAAUGCUCAGAGCUGCCUGGCUUCAUUUGGAGCUUACAGUAAACAAAUAGGCACUCAGGUCAAUUAUUUCAUAUGCUUAUAUUUAUUUUUUAUCAUUUUAAUAUGAGGCUCAGAAGCACUCUUAUUUGUCUUUUCUGCUCCAUGCUUUGUAAAAUGAAGUCUCAUGAGACUCCUUCUACAGAAAAGGAAAAACAUGGUAAUAAAACA